Molecule: long non-coding RNA, 166 nt
Organism: Gavialis gangeticus (Gharial)
Lineage: Eukaryota; Metazoa; Chordata; Crocodylia; Gavialidae
Exons: 3
Source: RefSeq, a predicted model, not a curated record
CUGGGAAUGUUACCAACCUGCAGAAGCUGUUUUUUAACUACCGCCUGAGCAGUUGCAGGAUGGCCGUGGAAUGUGCAUUUGGCUGACUGAAAGGAUGAUGGAGGGCGCUUCCUCCAAUACAAUAUCUGUGAGAGCCACAGAGGUUUUCAAGGAGUCAUGGGAAGAA